UACGAAGGGGGCUAGCGUUGUUCGGAUUUACUGGGCGUAAAGCGCACGUAGGCGGAUCGUUAAGUCGGGGGUGAAAUCCUGGAGCUCAACUCCAGAACUGCCUUCGAUACUGGCGAUCUUGAGUCCGGAAGAGGUGAGUGGAACUCCUAGUGUAGAGGUGGAAUUCGUAGAUAUUAGGAGGAACACCAGUGGCGAAGGCGGCUCACUAGUCCGGUACUGACGCUGAGGUGCGAAAGCGUGGGGGAGCAAACAGG
This 254-nucleotide ribosomal RNA is filed under the name uncultured bacterium. RNAcentral describes it as "partial 16S ribosomal RNA". It matches the Rfam family "Bacterial small subunit ribosomal RNA", at positions 524 to 776 of the family's 1533-position model. The record is from RNAcentral.